Molecule: non-coding RNA, 73 nt
Organism: Halocaridina rubra (Hawaiian volcano shrimp)
Lineage: Eukaryota; Metazoa; Arthropoda; Malacostraca; Decapoda; Atyidae
Source: the annotation of a GenBank genome assembly
ACCUUCUGUGGUGUAGUUGGUAGCGCCUUAACUUAGUAAUAAUAAGUCCUAGGUUCAAACCCCAGUCGAGGUA